This 1272-nucleotide long non-coding RNA is filed under the name Scleropages formosus (Asian bonytongue). Its description in RNAcentral is "lncRNA (ENSSFOG00015028059.1)". The record is from RNAcentral. Lineage: Eukaryota; Metazoa; Chordata; Actinopteri; Osteoglossiformes; Osteoglossidae.
UGUUGAGAUCACACUUAUUACAGCUACAAGCUUACUUAUUUAUAUAGCUGGGUAAGUCAGUGGAGCAAUUUAGGGUAAAUUAUACCUCGCUCCAGUGUACUACAGCUGGAAGUAGGGCUGGAACCUGGAACCUGGAACCUUAGUCUGUGUUGGUCCAAACCAUUAGACUAUCCCCAUUCAGUGCGCUGUGCCCUUGCUAAAGACUCCGAGGCAGCGCGUUUCUACAAACGCAGCAGCUGUUCUGCACAAAUACUCUGUCUGUGUAGGUUGAACAUCAGGCUUUCGAGGGCUGUGUUGCCCACAGUGUCGCUGGGAGGCGCUUCCUCCUCCUGCAGAAUGAGAACGGUUGAUUCUAGCUCUGCUUCUGCUGCUGCUGCUGCUGGCGGCAAAACCUCCGUGGGCGCGCGCUGCAAGCAACAAAUCCGCGCUGGAUGUUCUCCAGAAGACCUUCUGACCUCGGAGAGACUGCCGACGCCUUCUCCGCUCCUGCCCCGCGCGCGACUCUCUAACCGCCGGAGCGCCGAGACGUUUCGCGCGGGUGCGUGCGCGCGCGCCGCUCAAACUCGCGGGAAGCCACGGAUUGACCAUGUGCGCGCGGUAGCGGGAAGAGCGCGCGCGCGCGGCGCUGCCUAACGGACGGCCUCCUCGCACAGUCCCAGGUCCGGGAAUCGUUAAUCGCGAGGCGCUUUUCGUCCCACCCAUGAGUGCACUCUUGAUAUUGCUCUCUUUCGUUUGUGGAAAGCUCUGCGCUCGGCCCCGGGAUCCCAUCGCUAAGAAAAGUGUGAGACAAGAGUGUGUCUGCUGGGGGUCCCACUGCUGCCAGGACGGUCCCUUCAGCUGUGAGCUCUGGAUGUAUUUGUGCGUCGUCAGCUGUGUGGGCGCCCUUCUUCCCAGCACUGAAGCUUCAGGAACUCUGCAGGAGAUCCAGAAACGUCUCAGUGACCAGAGGAAACUGAUUGAACCCUUCAGGUUAUGGGAUCAUAACGGCACUUAUUAUACCCCAAGCUAUGAUGGCGGGCUAAGGGCCAGGCGGAGCGGGGGGCGGAGCAACGACAGGGGAAUCUAAGCAAGCCAUCUAUUUCUUCCCUCGGGCGGACCAGUAAGAGGGAGAGAGAGCGUGAAGCCUGGAUGCCAGAGACGAAGCUGGAGCACCUCCCCGACCCUUAUUAAGCGCCUCCCGGAGCGCCACCCCUCGACACCAGCUCCCUGUGCCCCCUUUUCCCCUCUGUCCACUGACACACCUGCCCGUUAAUAAACCCCUCCUCACGAGCA